This is a non-coding RNA of Rattus norvegicus (Norway rat), 1729 nucleotides long. Lineage: Eukaryota; Metazoa; Chordata; Mammalia; Rodentia; Muridae. The record is from RefSeq and is a predicted model, not a curated record.
AGAGGGGACAUUGUAUCACAUGGCACAGGCUGCCAUGGUGACUUGCUGCCUUGCUGUGCAGUUAACUGUUUCUUGGUGAAGGUAUCUGGUAGGUUUGACCACCACUGAGCCCUGUUUUCCCGUUUUCAAUUAGUAAGAAGUGAGCAAAGAGAUACUUAGAGACUUUCAUCUUUUCCUCCUAGUAAGACUUUUGCCCACUGGUCUUAGCAUUCAGUAGUGAUUCAUGUCAGAAUGAAUUGGGAUUGCACUAAUUACCAAGUGUUGAUACUUUGAUCCUCUCAUCCCCUCUAGAUUUAUUGAUUAGCAUCCUAAAGUAAGGAAAAGCCUCCCCUUCUUCACAUAUUUAUCUCGCUCUCAUUUAGACCAGGGUGGACUCACAGGUUCCGAUUUUAUGCUGUAGGUUAUAACCCAGAACAUCACUAUUCACUUUGUUUUUCAAAAGAUAUCUGCUUUGUUUAAGCUUACUUAUUCACUGCGUCCUGCAUGUGUGUGUUCAUGAGCAUCCUGUGCUGUGGCAGUGUGUGGAGGUCAGAGGACCGUGUGGAUUCCUGCCGCUGAGCUAGGAUUAUCAGGCUUAGUGGCAAGUGCCUUACUCACCAAGCCAUCCCACCAGCCCUGGCCCUCGUGUUCUCAUUAUUACCUCACUGUUGCCUGGGGCAACUUGCCCUCUAAAAAGCUCAUCACUGAAGCCCGCCUUGUGUUUUCUCUGUGCCAUCUCUGGGGUUUGUGUUUCUGGAACUGAAAGUGCCAUGGAGACUUACUUAGCUUUGUCUUGGAGAAUGGGGUUCAGAAGUGCAUUCUGGGAGCCUGCUGAUGAGCACUCAUUGUUCACAGAGGACUGGGAAUAACGGAGGCUACAUUUCAGAAUGAAGAUCACAGAAGAGACUCUCAGAACCUUCCAGUAAAACAAAGCGUUGGACUCCUUUCCACCCACCCAGUCAUCCUGCUGUGGUGAACUGAGAGAGGCCAGGGCUGUGUGGGAAAACCUAAGAGUGCCAUUCUGCAAGUGAGGAGCUGCUAAGAAGUUCCUUUCCUAGUCCAGUCCAAUGUUCAACCCAGCUCGGCUCUACCUAACCCAAAAGAGAGGCCACUGACCCCGGAAUUGAGUGGACUCUGAAGUCUCAUGUGUAUAGGAACAAAAGUCCCUGAUCAAAGUGGGGCCUGCAGGAAUGCAGGUAUUCUCUGGCAUGCUGUCUGCCGGACAUCUGGACAGACCUGCAAAAGGUGAGGUUAGAGACCAGGAGCAUGGUCUAAUGUCCCACAGUAUGGUAGCUUUGGGGAGGAGAUGCAAAACAGUGACAAUGUAACAUCUGUCACAGAAUCUCCUUCAGUCCCCAUCCCAGGGGUACCUUUCCCAGGGGGAAGUGGGAAGCUUCAGCCUGGAAAGGAAGGCAGGGAAUUCUGAGAAUUAUAAAGUGGACCAGAGAACUGGAUGGCAAAGAAUCUGGAGUUUCAAACACAGGGAGAACCUCAAAUAGAGAAGUUGGCGUGCAGAAGUAGAGUUGGUUCCAGAUCCUGAUUUGUAGAAGGCCUUCACUGAUGCCUUCCUGAUAAAAGAGGAACUAUUCAGACGUUGGAGGAGGUCCUUGCAGGAAAGAGAAGAUGGGGACAAGAGGUCACAUCCUGGUCCUCCCCGAAGAAAGGCACCAUUAAGUCUUCAGUGACUUAAGUGACUUGAUCUUUCCUUACUAUAAAUAAAGACCUGUGGGAUAAACAAUGAACUAAGCAA